Molecule: ribosomal RNA, 465 nt
Filed under: uncultured bacterium
Lineage: Bacteria
Description: partial 16S ribosomal RNA
Rfam family: Bacterial small subunit ribosomal RNA
Source: RNAcentral
CCUACGGGGGGCAGCAGUAGGGAAUGUUCGUCAAUGGGCGCAAGACUGAACGAGCGAUGCCGCGUGAGUGAAGAAGGCCUUCGGGUCGUAAAGCUCUGUUGCGGGGGAAAAAAGGCAGCAUCAGGAAAUGGGUGCUGACUGAUGGUGCCCCGCCAGAAAGUCACGGCUAACUACGUGCCAGCAGCCGCGGUAAUACGUAGGUGGCGAGCGUUAGCCGGAAUGAUUGGGCGUAAAGGGUGCGCAGGCGGUCCUGCAAGUCUGGAGUGAAACGCAUGAGCUCAACUCAUGCAUGGCUUUGGAAACUGGAGUACUGGAGGGCAGGAGAGGGCGGUGGAACUCGAUGUGUAGCGGUGAAAUGCGUAGAUAUAUGGAAGAACACCAGUGGCGAAGGCGGCCGCCUGGCCUGUUGCUGACGCUGAGGCACGAAAGCGUGGGGAGCAAAUAGGAUUAGAUACCCUUGUAGUC